CGACUUGCUGCGGACUAAUCCAAUGGAUGUGCGCAUCAAGCCCACCAGCCGUUAGGAUGCGCCCUUCACCGGCAAUCACUUCGGUGCCAGGACCAAUGAUAAUAUCAACAUCGGAUUGAAUGUCCGGAUUACCGGCCUUGCCGACGGCUAUAAUCCGACCGUCUUUGAGGCCGACGUCGGCUUUAACAAUGCUGGUAUAAUCGACGAUCAGCGCGUUAGUAAUGACCGUGUCAACCGCGCCCGUUUCACGGGUGACUUGAGACUGCCCCAUGCCAUCCCG
RNAcentral lists this small RNA (280 nucleotides) under marine eukaryotic metagenome. RNAcentral's name for it is "5' ureB small RNA". It matches the Rfam family "5' ureB small RNA". The record is from RNAcentral.